RNAcentral lists this RNase P RNA (277 nucleotides) under chicken gut metagenome. RNAcentral describes it as "Bacterial RNase P class A". It matches the Rfam family "Bacterial RNase P class A", at positions 67 to 367 of the family's 367-position model. Rfam says of the family: Ribonuclease P (RNase P) is a ubiquitous endoribonuclease, found in archaea, bacteria and eukarya as well as chloroplasts and mitochondria. Its best characterised activity is the generation of mature 5'-ends of tRNAs by cleaving the 5'-leader elements of precursor-tRNAs. The record is from RNAcentral.
AAAGAUGCUAGAUAACGUCUAGUGAGGGUGACCUUAAGGAAAGUGCAACAGAAAAUAACCGCCAUAUUUUGGUAAGGGUGAAAAGGUGAGGUAAGAGCUCACCGCUAUUAUGGUGACAUAAUAGGACAGUGUAAACCCCAUCUGGAGCAACACCUAAUAAAGAAGAUUAAGCCUGCUCGGCACCUUCUUGAAUUGCGUGGCUUGAAAUAGAUAGUAAUAUCUAUUCUAGAUAAAUGACUAUUUUAAAAGACAGAACCCGGCUUACAGAUUUACUCUU